RNA transcript from Triticum aestivum (bread wheat), 3261 nucleotides. It is a transcript of the gene named zinc finger MYM-type protein 1, with no coding region annotated. The record is from RefSeq and is a predicted model, not a curated record. Lineage: Eukaryota; Viridiplantae; Streptophyta; Magnoliopsida; Poales; Poaceae.
AUUUGGUCGUAUGGAGCAGCAAUAGAAACAGAAGAUGAAGAAGAGUGGAAUUGCUAGCAGUAGCAUAUUUGCAAUGUGGGAAAAGGCUUCAAAGGCAAGGAAAAUGGAUGAAGUAUCCACACCGAAUCAGACAGUAGCUGCAUCUAGUACAUGUACUUCUCCUGUUCAUAUUGAGAGCAAUUUACAAUUGGUGUUAUGGCAAGAACCAGAGAGUAGAGGAGAAACCUCAACACCUCAUGUACAACAUGAGCAAGAACCAGAGAGUAGAGGAGAAACCUCAACACCUCAUGUACAAGAUGAUGAAUCUAUUGAUGAAGAUGAUGAACCGAUGCAAGCAGAUUUGGAGGCACUCGAACAUGAUCCUGGAAUGCAGAUUCCCAUCUCAGUGUAUGCUGUCAAUGACCAAGAUAGAGUAAGAAGGAGAUAUAUUGAGAUGGGGUCAUGUCAACCAAAGAAUCAUAAGUUCAAGUUUACAAAUAAAAGUGGAAAAGAGUGUCGCUUUUGCCGUGUUUGGUUUAAAGAAUUUCCAUGGAUUGAGUAUAGUGUGGAAAAAGAUAGGGCUUUCUGCUUUGUUUGCUAUUUGUUCAAGGAUAAAACAAGAUGUCCCGGUGGAGAUGCUUUUGUGAAGAAGGGAUUUAAUAACUGGAACAUGAAGUCGAGAUUGAAGAAACAUGAAGGUGAGGUUUGUAGUGCUCAUGCUGAAGCUCAAGAGAAGUAUGAUAGGUUCACUACACCACAAACAUCAAUUCGGGAGUCUAUUUCUUCAAACACCUCACAAUACAAAGCUUUGUAUAAACAGCGUUUGACAUGGACACUCAAGUGUGUGAGAUUUCUGUUGCGGCAAGGCUUGGCAUUUAGAGGACAUGAUGAAAGUGAAGACUCACUAAAUGCAGGAAAUUUCCUCGAGCUUCUAAAUUGGCUAGCAGGAAAUUUUGAAGAGGUUGACAGGGUUGUUCUCAAGAAUGCUCCACGGAACUGCAAGAUGACUCACCAUGAUAUACAACAAGAGGUGAUAAAAUGUUGUGCACAAGAGACUACUAAACUAGUCAUUCAAGAACUUGAUGGUGGUCAUUUUGCAAUACUUGCAGAUGAGUCUAGUGAUGUGUAUCAGAAUGAACAGUUGGCUGUUUGCUUGCGUUAUGUUGAUAAGAAAGGAAGGGCGGUUGUAAGAUUUCUUGGUCUUGCUCAUGUUGAAGAUACUACCUCUUUGACAAUAAAAGCUGCAAUUCAAAAAAUGCUUAUGGACUACAAUUUGACCUUUGCGAUGGUUCGUGGGCAAGGAUAUGAUGGAGCUAGCAACAUGAGAGGUAAUGUUAAUGGCCUGAAAAAACUGAUUAUGGAUGAGUCCCCUUCUGCCUACUAUGUUCAUUGUUUUGCCCAUCAACUACAGUUAACUCUUGUUGCUGUUGCUAAGGAGAGUGGUGAUUGUACUUGGUUCUUUCAGCAGCUUGCACACUUGUUAAAUGCUCUUGGCAUGUCUUGUAAAAAGAUGAGAAUGCUUCGGAUAGCUCAGGCUGAAGAACUCAUUGAUGCAUUGGAAUUGGAAGAAGUAGAAACAGGGAGUGGGCUGAAUCAGGAACUGGGUUUGGGAAGGCCAUGUGAUACACGUUGGGGCUCUCACUUCAAAACUGUGAACCAUGUCAUCUCUAUGUAUGGUGCACUACGACGAGUCCUUUGCAAGAUUGGAGACGAGUACCAUGGUGUGGAGGCACAAGCGGCUCUAUCCAUAGAGACAGUAUUUCGAUCAUUUGAGUUUGUUUUCAUGGCACACUUGAUGCAAGAAAUAUUUGGAUACACAGAUGAGUUGUGUAGAGCUUUGCAAAAGCAAGACGAAGAUAUUGUUCAUGCUAUUGAGCUUGUUCGUGACACAAAGUAUUACUUGGAGGCUUUGAGGACCGAUGCUGGAUGGGAUGAUUUUCUCACAAAGGUCACAUCUUUUUGUACAAAGCAUAAGAUCAAAGUUGUUGAUAUGGAGGGUCCUUACUUUCCCGUUGGCCGGCCUAGAAGGGGUUUAUGUAAUGGUCCAAUCAAUUACCACCGCUUCAAGGUUGAUAUGUUUGUGGGUGUCAUUGAUAGGCAAAUCAGUGAGCUGAAUGGCAGAUUUGAUGAGGUAAACACAGAACUACUUUCUUGCAUGGCAGCAUUCUGUCCACUUCAUCUAUUUGCUGCUUAUGACCAAGAGAAGUUGGUUAGGCUUGCUACAAAGUUUUAAGCUUCUGAUUUUACAAGUGAUGAACUGGCAAGACUUCCAUGGCAACUAAACAUGUAUGUUACUAAUGUGCGUAGAGAUGAAAGGUUCCAAAACCUGAAAAAUCUGUGUCAACUUUCAGUUGUGCUUGUGGAGACAAACAAGCAUGAACAAUAUCAUAUUGUUUACAAGCUUCUUAAGUUGGUAUUGAUUCUGCCAGUAGCUACUGCUAGUGUUGAAAGGGUAUUCUCUUCAAUGAGCCAUGUGAAGAAUAAGCUAAGAAGCAAAAUGGGUGAUGAAUAUUUGAACAGUUGUUUGGUUACAUUUGUUGAGAGAGAAUUUUUCAAUCAAGUGAAGGAUGAAGAUGUCAUCAAUCUCUUCCAAAAAGGCGACCGCAAAGUUAUAUUGUAAGGAUAUCAUCACUUUAUCAAUCAAAAGGUUGAGAAGCCUCACCAAUGAAGAAGGCUGGCCAGACCUCCUCCUCAGCGCCAUUUGCGCCUAGUGAGGGAAGUAGGCUCACGCGCCCUGCAAGUGUGGGCCGGCCCAAAAAGCGAGCUUUUGCUCGCUCAUACCCCUCCAUUUGCUUGGUUGGUUGGUCAACCAUUGACAGGUUGGCCAUUGAUCAGUUAACCAUUGACUUUUGAAAAGAAUCACGGGUUCAACAAAAUGUUUGUGAGUUUGUAAAAAAGUUUACGCAUUUGAAAAAAAUUCAUGGAAUUGAAAAAAAUCAUGAAUUUAGAAAAAACUUUACAAAUUCAAAAAUUCUUUGCGACUUUCAAAAAAGUUAAUGAAUUUGAAGAGAAUGUUCAUGGAUUUGAAAAAAAUUAUGAGUCUGAAAUAAAAGUUCGUGAAUUUGAAAAAAAAAAUUGAAACAGAUAAAGAAGAGAAAUAGAAAAAAAAACAGACAUAACCUGGCUCAAUAAAAGUAGAAACGAAAAGAGAAAAAAACGACCGAAAGUUUUGAGUCGGAAGCUAUGCUUGCUAAGGGCAUGUACAAUGGUUCGUAAGGUAGUCUUAUCUUAAGUCUUGCAUAUAAUUUAGAAAUGACAAAAAAAACAUGUCUACAAUGGGUC